GCGCUAAUAGAUGAGCCUAAGUCGGAUUAGCUAGUUGGUGGGGUAAAGGCCUACCAAGGCGACGAUCUGUAGCGGGUCUGAGAGGAUGAUCCGCCACACUGGGACUGAGACACGGCCCAGACUCCUACGGGAGGCAGCAGUGGGGAAUAUUGGACAAUGGGGGGAACCCUGAUCCAGCCAUGCCGCGUGUGUGAAGAAGGCCUUAUGGUUGUAAAGCACUUUAAGCGAGGAGGAGGGUACUGGUAUUAAUACUACCAGCUACUGGACGUUACUCGCAGAAUAAGCACCGGCUAACUCUGUGCCAGCAGCCGCGGUAAUACAGAGGGUGCGAGCGUUAAUCGGAUUUACUGGGCGUAAAGCGUGCGUAGGCGGCUAAUUGAGUCGGAUGUGAAAUCCCCGAGCUUAACUUGGGAAUUGCAUUCGAUACUGGUUAGCUAGAGUGUGGGAGAGGAUGGUAGAAUUCCAGGUGUAGCGGUGAAAUGCGUAGAGAU
This 491-nucleotide ribosomal RNA is filed under the name uncultured bacterium. RNAcentral describes it as "bacterial SSU rRNA". It matches the Rfam family "Bacterial small subunit ribosomal RNA", at positions 215 to 697 of the family's 1533-position model. The record is from RNAcentral.